UACGACCACGUCACGUUGAAACAUCGCUUUCCGUACGAUCACCAAAGUUAAGUAAUGUCGAGCCUGGUUAGUACCGAGAUGGGUUACCGCUUAAGAAGAGCAGGUACUGUAAG
This is a non-coding RNA of Acanthosepion pharaonis, 113 nucleotides long. Lineage: Eukaryota; Metazoa; Mollusca; Cephalopoda; Sepiida; Sepiidae. The record is from the annotation of a GenBank genome assembly.